GAUGAAGAACGUAGUGAAAUGCGAUAAGUAGUGUGAAUUGCAGAAUUCAGUGAAUCAUCGAAUCUUUGAACGCACAUUGCGCCCUUUGGUAUUCCAAAGGGCAUGCCUGUUCGAGCGUCAUUUGUACCCUCAAGCUUUGCUUGGUGUUGGGCGUCUUGUCUCUAGCUUUGCUGGAGACUCGCCUUAAAGUAAUUGGCAGCCGGCCUACUGGUUUCGGAGCGCAGCACAAGUCGCACUCUCUAUCAGCAAAGGUCUAGCAUCCAUUAGGCCUUUUUUUCAACUUUUGACCUCGGAUCAGGUAGGGAUACCCGCUGAACUUAAGCAUAUCAAUAAGCGGAGGA
RNAcentral lists this unclassified non-coding RNA (341 nucleotides) under soil metagenome. Its description in RNAcentral is "partial contains 5.8S ribosomal RNA, internal transcribed spacer 2, and large subunit ribosomal RNA". The stretch from base 1 to 120 matches the Rfam family "5.8S ribosomal RNA", at positions 35 to 154 of the family's 154-position model. The record is from RNAcentral.